GAAAUGCGAUAAGUAAUGUGAAUUGCAGAAUUCAGUGAAUCAUCGAAUCUUUGAACGCACAUUGCGCCCCUUGGUAUUCCGAGGGGCAUGCCUGUUCGAGCGUCAUUACAACCCUCAAGCACUGCUUGGUAUUGGGCUCCGCUGGCUCCAGCGGGCCUUAAAAUCAGUGGCGGCGCCGUUUGGGCUCUGAGCGUAGUAAAUAUCCUCGCUAUAGAGACCAGGCGGUUCUUGUCAUCAACCCCCAACUUUCUAAGUUUGACCUCGGAUCAGGUAGGGAUACCCGCUGAACUUAAGC
RNAcentral lists this unclassified non-coding RNA (295 nucleotides) under plant metagenome. RNAcentral describes it as "partial contains 5.8S ribosomal RNA, internal transcribed spacer 2, and large subunit ribosomal RNA". The stretch from base 1 to 105 matches the Rfam family "5.8S ribosomal RNA", at positions 50 to 154 of the family's 154-position model. The record is from RNAcentral.